Non-coding RNA from Pangasianodon gigas (Mekong giant catfish), 83 nucleotides. The record is from the annotation of a GenBank genome assembly. Lineage: Eukaryota; Metazoa; Chordata; Actinopteri; Siluriformes; Pangasiidae.
CUGUCUCUCUCCCGCUCUCCAUCCAUUUCACUCAAUCUACUUGUCUCUCUUCCUCUGUCUCUCUUUCUACCUGUCUCUCGCUC